AACGCUGGCGGCGUGCCUAAUACAUGCAAGUCGAACGGUCUUUCUAUGGAAGCUUGCUUCCACUGAGAAGAUAGUGGCGAACGGGUGAGUAACACGUGGGUAACCUGCCCAUAAGAGGGGGAUAACAUCCGGAAACGGGUGCUAAUACCGCAUAGUUUUCUUGAUUGCAUGAUUGAGAAAGGAAGACGGCCUUUGUGCUGUCGCUUAUGGAUGGACCCGCGGCGUAUUAGUUAGUUGGUGAGGUAACGGCUCACCAAGACGAUGAUACGUAGCCGACCUGAGAGGGUGAUCGGCCACAUUGGGACUGAGACACGGCCCAAACUCCUACGGGAGGCAGCAGUAGGGAAUCUUCCGCAAUGGACGAAAGUCUGACGGAGCAACGCCGCGUGAGUGAAGAAAGGUUUUCGGAUCGUAAAACUCUGUUGUCAGAGAAGAACAAGUUGGAGAGUAACUGCUCCAGCCUUGACGGUAUCUGACCAGAAAGCCACGGCUAACUACGUGCCAGCAGCCGC
RNAcentral lists this ribosomal RNA (512 nucleotides) under uncultured bacterium. Its description in RNAcentral is "bacterial SSU rRNA". It matches the Rfam family "Bacterial small subunit ribosomal RNA", at positions 32 to 518 of the family's 1533-position model. The record is from RNAcentral.